UAUCCUGUCUGAAUAUGGGGGGACCAUCCUCCAAGGCUAAAUACUCCUGACUGACCGAUAGUGAACCAGUACCGUGAGGGAAAGGCGAAAAGAACCCCGGCGAGGGGAGUGAAAAAGAACCUGAAACCGUGUACGUACAAGCAGUGGGAGCCUCUUUUAUGGGGUGACUGCGUACCUUUUGUAUAAUGGGUCAGCGACUUAUAUUCUGUAGCAAGGUUAACCGAAUAGGGGAGCCGAAGGGAAACCGAGUCUUAACUGGGCGUUAAGUUGCAGGGUAUAGACCCGAAACCCGGUGAUCUAGCCAUGGGCAGGUUGAAGGUUGGGUAACACUAACUGGAGGACCGAACCGACUAAUGUUGAAAAAUUAGCGGAUGACUUGUGGCUGGGGGUGAAAGGCCAAUCAAACCGGGAGAUAGCUGGUUCUCCCCGAAAGCUAUUUAGGUAGCGCCUCGUGAACUCAUCUCCGGGGGUAGAGCACUGUUUCGGCAAGGGGGUCAUCCCGACUUACCAACCCGAUGCAAACUGCGAAUACCGGAGAAUGUUAUCACGGGAGACACACGGCGGGUGCUAACGUCCGUCGUGAAGAGGGAAACAACCCAGACCGCCAGCUAAGGUCCCAAAGUCAUGGUUAAGUGGGAAACGAUGUGGGAAGGCCCAGACAGCCAGGAUGUUGGCUUAGAAGCAGCCAUCAUUUAAAGAAAGCGUAAUAGCUCACUGGUCGAGUCGGCCUGCGCGGAAGAUGUAACGGGGCUAAACCAUGCACCGAAGCUGCGGCAGCGACGCUUAUGCGUUGUUGGGUAGGGGAGCGUUCUGUAAGCCUGCGAAGGUGUACUGUGAGGUAUGCUGGAGGUAUCAGAAGUGCGAAUGCUGACAUAAGUAACGAUAAAGCGGGUGAAAAGCCCGCUCGCCGGAAGACCAAGGGUUCCUGUCCAACGUUAAUCGGGGCAGGGUGAGUCGACCCCUAAGGCGAGGCCGAAAGGCGUAGUCGAUGGGAAACAGGUUAAUAUUCCUGUACUUGGUGUUACUGCGAAGGGGGGACGGAGAAGGCUAUGUUGGCCGGGCGACGGUUGUCCCGGUUUAAGCGUGUAGGCUGGUUUUCCAGGCAAAUCCGGAAAAUCAAGGCUGAGGCGUGAUGACGAGGCACUACGGUGCUGAAGCAACAAAUGCCCUGCUUCCAGGAAAAGCCUCUAAGCAUCAGGUAACAUCAAAUCGUACCCCAAACCGACACAGGUGGUCAGGUAGAGAAUACCAAGGCGCUUGAGAGAACUCGGGUGAAGGAACUAGGCAAAAUGGUGCCGUAACUUCGGGAGAAGGCACGCUGAUAUGUAGGUGAAGUCCCUCGCGGAUGGAGCUGAAAUCAGUCGAAGAUACCAGCUGGCUGCAACUGUUUAUUAAAAACACAGCACUGUGCAAACACGAAAGUGGACGUAUACGGUGUGACGCCUGCCCGGUGCCGGAAGGUUAAUUGAUGGGGUCAGCGCAAGCGAAGCUCUUGAUCGAAGCCCCGGUAAACGGCGGCCGUAACUAUAACGGUCCUAAGGUAGCGAAAUUCCUUGUCGGGUAAGUUCCGACCUGCACGAAUGGCGUAAUGAUGGCCAGGCUGUCUCCACCCGAGACUCAGUGAAAUUGAACUCGCUGUGAAGAUGCAGUGUACCCGCGGCAAGACGGAAAGACCCCGUGAACCUUUACUAUAGCUUGACACUGAACAUUGAGCCUUGAUG
Molecule: ribosomal RNA, 1721 nt
Filed under: Escherichia coli
Lineage: Bacteria; Pseudomonadati; Pseudomonadota; Gammaproteobacteria; Enterobacterales; Enterobacteriaceae
Description: partial 23S ribosomal RNA
Rfam family: Bacterial large subunit ribosomal RNA
Source: RNAcentral